This 264-nucleotide ribosomal RNA is filed under the name uncultured bacterium. Its description in RNAcentral is "partial 16S ribosomal RNA". The record is from RNAcentral.
CUGCUGCCUCCCGUAGGAGUCUGGUCCGUGUCUCAGUACCAGUGUGGGGGACCUUCCUCUCAGAACCCCUAUCCAUCGUGGACUUGGUGAGCCGUUACCUCACCAACUAUCUAAUGGAACGCAUGCCCAUCUAUCAGCGAUAAUUCUUUAACAAAUAUUUCCAUGUGGAACCCCUGUUUUAUGCGGUAUUAGUCCGACUUUCGCCGGGUUAGUUCCCCUCUGAUAGGUAGGUUGCAUACGCGUUACUCACCCGUGCGCCGGUCG